This 253-nucleotide ribosomal RNA is filed under the name uncultured bacterium. RNAcentral describes it as "partial 16S ribosomal RNA". It matches the Rfam family "Bacterial small subunit ribosomal RNA", at positions 524 to 776 of the family's 1533-position model. The record is from RNAcentral.
UACGAAGGGUGCAAGCGUUGCUCGGAAUUAUUGGGCGUAAAGCGAGCGCGGAUGGUCUUGUAAGUCAGGAGUGAAAGCCCUGGGCUCAACUCCAGAACUGCCCUUGAUACUGGCGGUCUCGAGUCCGGGAGAGGUGAGUGGAACUGCGAGUGUAGAGGUGAAAUUCGUAGAUAUUCGCAAGAACACCAGUGGCGAAGGCGGCUCACUGGCCCGGUACUGACGCUGAGGUGCGAAAGCGUGGGGAGCAAACAGG